RNAcentral lists this transfer RNA (67 nucleotides) under Upogebia pusilla (Mediterranean mud shrimp). Its description in RNAcentral is "tRNA-Ile". The record is from RNAcentral. Lineage: Eukaryota; Metazoa; Arthropoda; Malacostraca; Decapoda; Upogebiidae.
AAUAUGGUGCCUGAUUAAAAGGAUAGCACUGAUACAGCUAAUAAUGUAAGACUCUUUACCCAUAUUA